Non-coding RNA from Ornithorhynchus anatinus (platypus), 138 nucleotides. Lineage: Eukaryota; Metazoa; Chordata; Mammalia; Monotremata; Ornithorhynchidae. The record is from Rfam.
GAUCUCUCAGGGUCACACCUAGAGAGUUUCCAGUAUUCUACCAGUCAUGGCUACAGGAGGGAGAGUCAAGCAGAGGCAUACCCAUUCCAUUCUUAGCUUGGCCAGUGGCUAGUGAGUGGAAGGCAAUAUGCUACAAGC